GACAUUUUUUCUUUUUUUUAAAUUUUUUUUUCAACGUUUAUUUAUUUUUGGGACAGAGAGAGACAGAGCAUGAACGGGGGAGGGGCAGAGAGAGAGGGAGACACAGAAUCGGAAACAGGCUCCAGGCUCUGAGCCGUCAGCCCAGAGCCUGACGCGGGGCUCGAACUCACGGACCGCGAGAUCGUGACCUGGCUGAAGUCGGACGCUUAACCGACUGCGCCACCCAGGCGCCCCAAAGAGACAUUUUUUCUGAAGAAGACAUAUAGCUGGCCAACAGGUACAUGAAAAGACCCUCAACAUCACUAAUUAUCAGGGAAGGGCAAAUUAAAAACUAUAGUGAGAUAUCAGCUCACACUUGUUAGAAUGUCUACUAUCAAAAAGAUAAGAGAUAACAAAUGCUGGUGAGAAUAUGGAGAAAAGGGAGCUCUUCAUGCAUGAUUUGUGGGAAUGUAAAUUGGUGCAGCCACUAUGGAAAACACUAUGGAGGUUCCUCAAAAAAUUAAGCAUAGAGCUAUCAUAUGAUCUGGCAAUUCUACUUUCUGGUAAUUAUCCAAAGAAAAAAAACAGUAACUCAAAAAAAAAACCAUGCAUCCCAUGUUUAUUGUAGCAUUAUUUACAAUAGCCAAGACAUGGAAACAACCUAAGUGUCCAUUAUCAGAUGAAUGGGUGAAAAAAUGUGUGUGUGUAUGUGUGUGUGUACUGAAAUAUUAUUCAGCCAUAAAAAAUAAUGCAAUCUCACCAUUUGUGAUAACAUGAAUGGACCUUGAGGACAUUAUGUUGAGUGAAAUAACUCAGAGAGAGACAAGUACUAUAUGAUCUCACUUAUACGUGGAAUCUAAACAAAUCCAAAAAACAAAAACACCACCAAGCCCAUAGAAACAGAGAAUAGAUUGGUGGUUUCCAGAGGCAGUGUGUGUGUUGAGGGUGUGGAAUGGGUGAACAGAGUCAAAAGGUACAAACUUCCAAUUACAAAAUAAAUAAAUCUUGGGGAUAUAAUGUACAACAUGACAACUGUAGUUAAUAAUAUUGCAUUGCAUAUUUGAAAGUCUCUAAGAAGCUCUCAUCAUAAGGAAAACACUCCUGUAACUAUGUAUGGUGACAUAUGUCUUAUUGUGGUAGCCAUUUUGCAAUGUAAAUAAAGGUUGAAUCAUUUUGUUGUACGCCUGAAACUAAUUGAUAUCAGUUGUACCUCAAUAAAAAAAGAAGGAAAAUGGCAUGACUGUCAAUAGGAAUAAAAUUUCAGUUAAACAAGAUGAGUAAAUUGUAGAAAUCUGUUGUAUCGAUAGUUAACAAUACUGAUUGUGCGCUUAAGAAUUUGUUGAGUGAGUAGAUCUCAUGAUAAGUGUUCUUACUGCAAUAAGAAAAGAAGAAAAGGAAAGAGAGAAAAAGAAAAGAAAAGAAACAGGCAUUCAGAAGUAUUUUUUAAGUUUUCUUCCUCUCACUGGCUCUCUGGUCACCUACACCAUUUUUUCUUUUAAUUAUCUCUUUUUGGCUUUACUUAGAUUUUUAAACACCAAGAUUGCUUCUUAUUGUCACUUCUUAUGACAUAAACUUAUCUUUCCUUUGUAUGCACUUUAUUGGCCUUUUAACUUUCUCCUGCCUAUACCUAGAGAAACACCAAACCUGGAGAAAGCCAAAUAUCUACUUCAUCUGGUUUAAACAUCUAUAGAAUAUUACUAUCAAAAACGCUACUUCUCCACAUGCACAUCACAGAAAAGAAUCUCCAACUCCUCCUAUCAGGCUCUAACACUUCCAGUUGAUCUUUCUUAUGUACCAAGGAAGCUCCCGCCAUCAUUCUCCUCCAUCGUUGUGUCAAACCCUUACUUUUCUCUGCAACCUCCAACCUGCCAUCCCCUCCUUCUUCACAGAGAAGAUGAAGACCAUCAGGCAGGAACUGUCUAUAGGUUAGCUCACACUGAAACAUGCACCCAGUGUUGCUCUAUCUAGACUCAUCUCUAAUACCCUUCCUUCCCAUGGACUUAGAGAAAAAGGAAUUUCAUUUUUGAGAACCUUUAUUUGAGAACUGUGUUCCUUCUAGUAUCUUUUCUUUCCUGUGCAAGAAGCUUGUUCUAUUAUCUUUUCUUUCCUAGGUCUAUCAUGUUUCUCUUAUAGCUUUUGCUCUUUAGCAUAGUUUUGAGUUUUAACACUCCCAUAUUCCCGAGUUUCAGUUAUUCUAGAAAGCUCACAGCUCUCCAGCACGUUUACAUCUCUUGCAAAGUCUCCAUCUCCCUCCAUUUGUUCCCCAAGUUCAUCCUCCUUUGAAAGUCAUCAUUCUGGCUUUCUCUUGUUCCUCUAUGAAGCUUUUCUUCCCCCUCAACCCUGCCUCAGUCUUUGAUGGGUACUACCUCUUGGUAUUCUCCCACAUCAUAGGCAUACAUCAGCUUGGGUAGAGAUAGUUUACUAGUCUGCCUUUGCCAUUAAACUGUGAAUAUUUUGAGAAAUGGACUGUCAUUCAUCUCUCUAUUUACAAUGAUUUAUUCUAGAGUUGUGUUUUAUCAAAAUGAUAUACAUUGUCAGUUUCAUGAAAUAUUUCCCCACCUACUAACCUCAGCAAGCUAUAAUACAUGAUUAUAAGACAUUUCUAUAGGAUAUUUUAGGAUAAAAAUAGUUAUUUCUCUUCCUUUGCUCCAAGAUGAGCCACCAUAGAGGGUGAUUAUCUAAAAAUACAGAACUGGUUAUGAUGAGGAAGAUAAAAUCUGAGCAAAAGAGUACGAAUGAAUGUGGAACAGCAGAAAGCACAGAUGGGUAAAGGAGAGCACAAAAAUGGUGACCAGAACCUUCAAGUAUAUGUGUUUUACUGAAGGUGUCUUCUUAUAUUUGAAGUUAUGUAGUGCUGCCCAAGUACCCAGUCCUUUUUAUAUAGUAACUCACUUAAUCUUUAUCGCAACCCUAUGAUAUAGACACUGUUAUUAACUGAAUUUUACAAAUGAAGAAGUCAGGACAUCAUUUGAUAAAUUAUAGGCACAGUUACUAAAUAGUAAAGCUGAGAUUUGAGUCAGGCAGACUGGCCCCACAGUCCUUGCUCUUUACGCAGGACAAAUGCAGGGCAAUGAAAUUGUAUGGUCUGACAAAUAAUCCAAUUAUUGAAGUAGCUAAAAUCAUAUUUAAAGUGAGCCACUUUCUUUCUAAAAUCUGUGAAGUAUAUUCAUUCCAUUGUAAAUUGGUCUUAUUCCCUUGGUGAAAAUUUUCUCAUUAGCUUCAGUUACAAACAUGUCAAUAUUUUUCCAGGGUCAAAUAAUAGCUUAUUAAGAAAUGUGACUUCAAAAAACACAGAAGGUCUGGUUAUCCAACCAUUGAAUUUGGGGUAUAAAAAGAAUUUUUCUUUAAAGACAGCAUUUCCCUAUAAACUGCUUGGAACUAUUGCUCUGCUUUGAAAAGCACAUGUAUUUGCUAAUCGGCUAAGUAAAUCUACCUGUUUUCACUCUGCUCUGGUGGUUUUUCUGUUUUAAGUGUAGAUAAAUAGAAGAACCACAGCACCUCCAAAAUGCUGCUGCUUAAUUCUUCUGUGCAAUUUUCCCUAUUGAAGAUGUCUGCCUUUACAUGGAUUUGAUGAGUUUUGUGAGGUUUUCACUUCAAAAGGAGCUCUUGAAUUUUUAAUCCCCUCACUCAGGAACAAUGUUUUCUUGGUGUGCCUUCCAUUUCUCUUUUAUAUGGGGAAAUUAUACACAUUUUUACUAAGUCAUCAAUUCCUGCUUGAAAUGCUAUCCUCAGUUUCAUGCGUGCAUGGCUUUAUAAAAGUGGGAUGAGCUUUAUAUGCUUCAGGGGCUGUGCAGUGAAAGCAGGAUCCAGCAGAGAUUUGGCCAUAUCUGACAAGUGCCUGCUGUCAGAUUUUUCCUUCUCCUCUGUUUGACACAAUGGAAUCCCUUACAAACAUGUCGAUUCAGACCAGCACACUGCAUACUAAAUUAUGAAAACAAUAUUCACAUGUAGCAUCAAAAAGAGUGGACUCAUCAUGUGGUAUUGUUCUGAAGUGAAACCUGGGUGAUGAGAUGAGGGAAGAAGACUAUCCAUCAAUUAUCUCAAUAUUUUGAAGGCUGUAGCGUAGGGUGGAUGUUUGACUCUUGCUGCAGGAUGGCAGCUUUGCUGUGAUUUAUGUGGAUCUAGUUAUGUGAUUUUGGUUUUGAUGACAGAUGUUAUAGGAAUAGUAUUCAACUUUGUGAUGUAUUCUAAUAUCCUUGGGAUAAAAUGAAUCUAUGUAGAAUUGAAGGGUAUUGUAGUUGUAUUUGUUAAUUGCGGCUGCUGUGCUUUGUAUUUUGUUUCAGAGCAUCAUGCCUGAACAGACAUAGAAGAAUAGCGAUUAUUUUUAGCAAACGUGAGACUGGCUUGCAGUGUUGCUGGCAUGUGGUGAGCCUCUAGACACGCAGAGAAGGGAAAGCAGGGGGUCGCAGUCUCGGUUUUCAUUUGUAGAGUAUACUUGUCAUCUGGAAACCAAUAAUGCUUUACACAUGUUUUGUUUCAACCCUUUAUGCACAAAGCUGGCUUUAAAUAUGAUGGAGUUAAGUAAAGUGGACAUGUCUGUGAUAAUUACAAGAUCCACAGUCGUUUUCUCAUUUUCUGUGAUUCAACAAUUUAGCCAUUUUAAAUUCUUAUCAUAAGCAGAAUUGAAGAUUCUACCUUCCUCUUCCAUAUUCUAUCAUUAGAAUAAUAAUAAAAAAACAACCUUUAAUAUAUAUCCAGUGGAAGGGGUCACAGUGACACUUGGCAAUAGAAGGAGAGUCCAUGGGGAGUGAAUACGCAGAAGCAAAUGUCCAACUGAAAUAACCACACCAUUCUCUUUUUAAAUCACCAAUAGGAAAUGAAUUCAAAAGCAUUCUUAUGUUCCUGAAUACCACUUCAAGAUUAACUUUUAAAUAUAUUUUAAUCACCUUAUUAUACUGAUAAAACAACAUAAAUGGCGUCCAUUUCCUAAGGCUCAAUGGCCACAUGUAACUUUGAUAGUCAAGGUCUUUGUCAAACAAGCUGGUGAAUUUAAUUUUCUAGGUAGACUCUCUUGGUCUUAGCUUUGGGUUUCUACCAAAAAGCAUCUACAGUUAUGCUGCCUAGCCUAUUGGAGAACUUACCCAUUGUUAAUCAUAAUUGCUAACAUUUUUUUAGCAUUUAUUAUGUGCCAGUUAUUGCACUGAGUGCUUUACAUGUAUUAUCUCCUUUAUCUCUUAUCACAACAGCACUGUGAAGUAGGUUGCAUUAUUUUACCUGUGGUGAGUGUUAGACCCACAGAUGUAUGGGACUUCCCUGAAGUUGCAGAGCUCAAAUAUAAGGCACCAUGUCUGACUCUAGAGUUGAGUGAUUAAACCAUUAAGUUGUAUUGCUUCCACUUUACUUCAGUUUUUCUAUACAAUAUCUCUUUGGAUUCUGUGUUAGACUAACCUCUUGGGCUUGCUGCCUUUGCUGGUCUGUUAGGCUUUCUGUUUUUGUACCUGACCCCUGUCUCACAUCAAACUUGGUUUCACUUUUUCUAGUCCUUAAACCACCCUACUUCCUCCAAAUCCAAUCUGACCUCUACUUCCCUUGCUGCCAGUAUCCUGAAGAAACACUAUAUUCAGUCACCUCUGCCUCAUUACAUUCAUCAACUUUUUCUUUCACCUGCCCAGAAGGCUUGGAAGUAUUUCCUUAACUUUCAAUUAAAUGAAUUCCACUUCUAUGGUUUUCUGAAAGCAAAAUUCUUCUGGUUGUCCUUCCUUUCUAAGCAUCCUCUUUACCUAUCUGCAGGCUCUGCAUUUUUUUGUCCCCUAAACUUGGGCAUUCUGAAAGGUCCUAACCUUUCAUUUUAUCUCUUUGCUUUCCAUUCUUUCUGGCUGGAAAUCACAGCUUGUUAUACUUGUAGGUGGAUGACUCUGAAAUCUGGGCCUUCUGCCAGAACUUAUCAUGCAGUAAGUACCUUGCUUCUAUUUGUUAGCUGAUUAUUUCCACUUGAACUCUGUAUUUCUGCAACCAAUCUUAUAGUCCGCACAUCUGUAUCCUUCCCCUUGUCCCUAACCCGCCUCUUCUUUUGACCUCCCCUACUUUUUAAAUGCUGUUACAAGUAUAUCAGGUAAAUGGGCUUGAAUUUCAGUAAGAUUUGAUUUUCCUUUCUUUUAUUGAAUGACAACAAUUAAUGCUUAUUGUACUAUAAAUGCUUAUUGUAUUAUUUUAUGUGCUAGUGUUCUAAGUUUUUAUAUUGACUAUCUCAUUUACAUACUUAUUUAAGUAGCUACUCAUUGCUAUGUCCACUUUAUAGCAUUCAAUCAGUCAUAUAGUCCUGUUGAUUUUUCGCUCACAAACCUUUCCUUAGCCUUCCCUUCUAUCAGCGGUAUUAACAAUAGUUUAUAUUGGUAUCGCUCCAACCUUGAACUAGUCUUUCUUCCUCUAGACCUUUUUCCCUUUGAACAGUGCAUUCUGCAUAGUUGCUGAGGAUUAUUCUUUCUAAAACAUUGCCUUGAUAAUGCCGCUUUCUGGCCCUGAGACCUUUCAUGACUUCUUUGUUUUGAAUAUUAUAGUCCAAAAUCUCCCCGUCAUAUUCAAAGCUACAAUCCGUAUUUCUAAACUCUUCUACUGCCAUGCCACAAAACCUAUGGUCAAACUAAUUUCUUGCAACAUCUUUUCAAUUUUCAAAGUUAGUUCUUUCCAACCUCUCUGCUUUGAUUAUUUCAUUUUUACAGUGUGAAUGCCACUCAUCUCCCUCUUCCUCAUUCUUGUCUCUCUGUCUACUUCUGUCUUACACAAUGUUGAGGCCAGGAUUGAAUGCCACUUUGCACAUGGAAGUGCACUCAAACAAAGGGAUGUCCUUUUUAUGAAAUUUCAUGGGGAAUUUUACCACUUGUAUAAAACCUGUUUGCUGCCUUGUUUGUGGUCAUUUUUACAUGAUUUUUUUUUCCUACUACAAUGCAAACCUCUGGGGAAGUUAUAGCUGUCAUAUUCACCAUGGAUUUCCCUUGGCAUAAAACAGGUAUUUUAAUGGCAGGAACCCUGUGAAAACAUUUGACUGUAGGAAUGAAUGAAGAAUCUCCUUUAUGAUGUACUUCUUCUCUUGGUUCUUAUUUUAUUUUAUUUUUUUAGCAUAAUUCCUUUUUAGAUCUGACAAAACUGAGAAUUUUUAGCUAGAAAAAAGAGAACUGUACAUAAGGGCAAGAUUUGAUAUAAAUUUCCUGGAUCUGCUGAAACCAAUCUGGGUUAAGAAACUAAAUUCCAUCCAUGUGUGUAUUUUUUGGUCUGCAAUUAGGUAGUGUAAUAAUGGUCACCCACGCUGGGAGGAGUUCUUUCAUAUUUCUUUGCCAAGGUUUCCAAACUAUAAACAACAGUUCUGUGUCUGUAUCAGUGAAGUAUGAGAUAAUACUGGAUAAAUAUAUCUGGGAGUGUUUAUUGACAUAGGCAUUCAGGACUCAGGAUAUGUAGCAGCAGGUAGGGUACUCUUUUAGGGAUAUGGAAAAUUAUAAUGACCUCCCAAGAUUGUUCUUACUCUACGAAGCUAUAACUUUUAUAUUCUAAUCAGAUAGAGAAUGAAGAACUUUAGCCAGAGCACAUUUGUAUACUUAAGUCUAAAUAAAAUUCAUACCCAGUCCACAGUCCUUUCUUCCAGGAUCCUUUAUGAAAAGAGGCAAUAAGACUACUAACAUUGUCAGUGACUAUGUCAAAAUUGUAUGUGGAUGUUCCUUCUCCAUUUGCCAGUAGUCCUCACCUGUGUUCUCUAGAAAAAGCUGUAGUGAGUUUGAAGUAUAGAUGUAAUCAUCAGCUCCACUAUUCCAUCAAUGUUUGGGGAUCAGAAGAUGGACCAAAGUUCAAGAUAGGGAAAAUAGAAGGUAGAAGAAUAAUGUGCCUGACCCUUUGUAAUUCUGUAGGUGUCAUCAGGGGCUGGCUGUAGAGCUUACAUCUGAAGGGUGGCUUUUUUGGAAUCAUGUGCUAGCGUCCCAGUUAUAGUCACAAAGUGAAUACCUUGCUGGUGAUCCAAAGACUUUCUCUUUUCAUUGCUGCUUUUAACUGCUCCUGACCUUGCAAGAGAACCAUAUUUCAAGUUAUAUUUCUAACAGAGAAUGAUUCACAAAACUCAAGUGUCUAUGUGAAUUCAUCUUAUCUUAUUCAAGGCUGAGAGUAAAUAUAUAUAAUGGGAGGCAACAUCAUGGGAGGGGCAGAUGGAAUAAACAACCAAUUAAACCAACAUACAUUAAGUACAAAUGAUGGGCUACACACUGGGUGUUAGAGAUCCUGAAAUAAGUAAGACAUAAUUAGGGUGUUCAAGGUGGUCAAAAUCCAGAAAGAGAGGCAGAUGCAUCAGUAAAUAAGACUUUUAUAGCAGCGCAACUUGUAUAUUCACUGUGUGCUGUGGGAGCACAGAGAAGGAACAUCUCAACCAAACUGAGUGAGUUAAGAAAGAUUUUCUUUAAAAAGCUAUCAUCACCAUCACCAUCAAAAUUCAUUUACUAAAUACCUAAAAUUUGUGAUGUUAUAUUGAUGCUUUACAGACAGGCAUAUAGAAAAGAGAUUCCAGUCCUCUAAGAUGUCAUAAAUUAAUGUAAACAUACUGUCUUAAAGUAAAAUACAAGAGCACAAAAGCAGACAUGUUUAUGGCAGUAGCACUGUGCUCAGGGAGUUGUAUCUAUAAAAGGCAGAUAGGUGUGUGUGUGUGUGUGUGUGUGUGUGUGUGUGUGUGUGUGUGUGUGUUUAUUCCUUAGGUUCUUGGAUCGAUCUACAAAUAAAGGUCCUAAUUAGUGCAAAUUUUUAUGAUGUGAUGGAGACCAUUGGAAAUGGGCUAAAACCAUUCAUUCAUUACACAAAGGCCUCUGUAGCUGUUUUCAGAUAAGAAUACCUUUUGCUCUCUGAUGAACUGAUAUGCAUGUGAGAGAGUUAAUGUCACCUUCCAAGUCUCUGGAGUAAUCUAUUCCACUGUCACCUUUCUUUUGAACCAUGACAUUCUGAAAAAGUUAUUUUAAUUCUUUCUUGUAUCAUUUCACAAAGGUUGUACUGUCAAGCACUCUCCAGGAUGUAUAUUUUUAAGAUUUGGCUUCCUCCCUGGAAUCAUGAAGUCUUCAGAUGCUAUGAUAAUGGAUUUCUUGAAUAAAUUUGGAAGCAGAUUCUUAGAGUCUCCUAAGAGCCCAGCCUGCCAACACCUUGAUUUCAGCCCUGGGAGACCUGGAGCAAAGAAGCCCCCUGGACUUGUGAUCUACACAACUUUAUGGAAAACAACAAUCAAUGCAGAAUAUCAGAAUGAUCUGACAGUCAUUGUACCACAAAGAGAGAAGAUGCUGGCUAAUCAAAGUUUAGUUCAUGGUUUUCUCUGGGACUUUGGUACACAACUCAGUUAAACAUCCAGCCACAGGCAGAGAAGGGGCAACAAUAGUCACUUAAUAAAGAAAAAAAAUAAUGUGCAAAAACAUGCUUCUAUAAAGGAUCCAAAUCAGCAUCCUCUUGAAGAUUUCAUGGGUGAUACAAGAUGGUAGCGGAUUGAUAUGAAGCAAAUUCUGAGACCAUGAUGUCUACCCGAAGGAGGGUUCUCCAAGAAACUUUUGGGCAAAUUUGAAAAGACAUCUGGGGAUGUUUGAAGUUUGCCUCCUGGGGAAAAAAAAAACAUUCAGUGUUCCUGGUUUUCAGUAAUGCUGCAAGAUAUUCUAAUAGGAACCAAAAGACGUCCUCUUCCACAUCCACCAUGUCAGCCUAUUUUUGAUCAAGACAUCCCCAGGACUGAUCAGAGUAAAAAAGUGUAUUCCUGCCAUCCAAAUUCUGAGGGAUGCAUCUACCAUAACUUUGAGAUCUUAAGAAAAAGUAAAGAAGCUCUUUUAACAGCUCUUUUUGUGAACUCUGCAACCUGAGUCAAUUGUACAAAAAACAGCAACUUCUUGGAUACAGAAGAUCCUGCAACUCCAGGACACUUGGACAUUUCCUACGAGACACUUGACAUUGAAUUUAAGGCCUACCGGAUAACCCAGGAUAAUCUCCCCUCUCAAGAUCCUUAAAUGAAUUCAACCUGUCAAUACUCAUCUAUCCAAUAAGGUUUAAAUGUGAUUCCUAACAAAAGCUUUGGGGAAACUUGAAGGAUAGGAAGAUGCUUCUUUGAAAACCAUGAAAAGUGCCCUCACCAGACAUUGGAUCUACUGGCACCUUGAUCUUGGACUUCCCAGUCUCCAAAACUAAAAUGGAGGCCUGCAUGUCAAAACUACAAGGAAGUAUAUCAGUAAGGGUUAUGAUCCUUUUGAGUGAACAUCUGUUUACCGUCCAAGUGGCAACAGAUUGUGCAGACCUGGCCAAGAUUAAGGCUGGAGACCUUCUCAGAAAGAAGGAAGAACUGCUGAAACAGCUGGAAGACCUGAAAGUGGAGCUGUGGCAGGUAUGCCUGGGUGGCUCAGUCAGUUAAGCGUUGGCUCAGGUCAUGAUCUUGUGGUCCAUCAGUUCGAUUCCCCACUUUGGCUUCCUGAUGUCAGUACAGAGCCCUCCUCAGAUCCUCUGUCUCCCUCUCCCUCUGCCCCUACACUGCUCUCUCUCUCUCUCUCUCUUUCUCCUAAAAAUAAAAUAAACAUUAAAAAACAAGAAAGCAGAGUUGAGCUGCCCCAGCUGUGCGUCACCAAAGUGAUGGGUGCCAGGGCUUCCAAGUUCUCCAAGACCUGAGUUGUUUGCAAAUCCUUUGCCUGUGUUCUUACCAUCAUCAAGCAAACUCAGAAAGAGAAGCUCAGGAAAUUCUACAAGGGUAAAAAGUACAAGCCUUUGGAUAUGUGGCCCAAGAAGACACAUGCCAUGGUCCACCAACUUAACAAGCACUAGGAGAACCUGAAGACCAAGAAGCAGAAGCAAGUAUGCGGUCAAGACAUGAGCAUCGACGUCAAUAAAGCACAAACUGAAAAGUAAAAUAAAAUAAAAAAAUAAAAAUGAGUUGCCCUUAUAUAUGUCAAUCUGUUUAUUUUAUAUUCCAUUUAUCUGUUUAAUCUAUCUUUAUGAGAAUAUCACAUGGUCUUGAUUACAGUAGCUUUAUGAUGUGUUUUGAAACAGUAAUCCUGCAAAUUUGGUCUUAUUUUCAACCUUGUUUUGAGUAGCCUCAGCAUUUCAAAUUUUCAUAUAAAUUUUAUUUAAGAAAAAUUUUAAUAUAAAUUUUAGAAUCAGUUGUCAAUUUCUACAAAA
Molecule: long non-coding RNA, 11079 nt
Organism: Acinonyx jubatus (cheetah)
Lineage: Eukaryota; Metazoa; Chordata; Mammalia; Carnivora; Felidae
Exons: 15
Source: RefSeq, a predicted model, not a curated record